UUAGAGGAAGUAAAAGUCGUAACAAGGUUUCCGUAGGUGAACCUGCGGAAGGAUCAUUAUUGAAUUAUAAGGCUUUGAUUGUGCUGGCCUCUCGGGGCAUGUGCACGUCUCUGCCCGUUAAUCCCAACCCACCCCUGUGAACCGACCGUGUGAGGCGCUCUGUAACGGAGCCGUCUCAUGCUUUAUCAUAAACACCGUAUGUCUUUGAAUGUAAAAUCUAUAUCUUCGCCUUAAAACCGCGUCGGUAAAAAAAAGUUAAUAUAACUUUCAACAACGGAUCUCUUGGCUCUAGCAUCGAUGAAGAACGCAGCGAAAUGCGAUAAGUAAUGUGAAUUGCAGAUUUUCAGUGAAUCAUCGAAUCUUUGAACGCACCUUGCGCUCCCUGGUAUUCCGGGGAGCAUGCCUGUUUGAGUGUCAUUAAAUUCUCAACCCCGAUCGGAUUUGUUUUCGCAUUCGGAGGCUUGGAUCGUGGAGCGUGCUGGCCCCCUCUCAUGGGUCGGCUCCUCUUAAACGCAUUCGCGGAAUCGACUUUGGUCCGUUUCGGUCAUCAGUGUGAUAAAUGUUGCGCUGUUGGCUAGGAUCGAGGUGCCGCAUACAAUCGUCUUCGGACAACUUUAUGACCAUUUGGCCUCAAAUCAGGUAGGACUACCCGCUGAACUUAAGCAUAUCAAUA
RNAcentral lists this ribosomal RNA (673 nucleotides) under Athelia arachnoidea. Its description in RNAcentral is "eukaryotic LSU rRNA". The stretch from base 263 to 417 matches the Rfam family "5.8S ribosomal RNA". Lineage: Eukaryota; Fungi; Basidiomycota; Agaricomycetes; Atheliales; Atheliaceae. The record is from RNAcentral.